CCUACGGGAGACAGCAGUGAGGAAUCUUGGUCAAUGGCCGAGAGGCUGAACCAGCCAAGUCGCGUGAGGGAAGACGGCCCUACGGGUUGUAAACCCCUUUUGUCGGGGAGCAAAGCGAACUACGUGUGGUUCAUUGAGAGUACCCGAAGAAAAAGCAUCGGCUAACUCCGUGCCAGCAGCCGCGGUAAUACGGAGGAUGCGAGCGUUAUCCGGAGCUAUUGGGAUUAAAGGGUGCGCAGGCGGAGGUGCAAGUCAGCGGUCAUAUUGCGGGGCUCAACCCCGUACUGCCGUUGAAACUGCAUCCCUUGAGUGCGCGAGAAGUAUGCGGAAUGCGUAGUGUAGCGGUGAAAUGCAUAGAUAUCACACAGAACUCCGAUUGCGAAGGCAGCAUACCGGCGCGCAACUGACGCUCAUGCACGAAAGCGUGGGUAUCGAACAGGAUUAGAUACCCGUGUAGUC
RNAcentral lists this ribosomal RNA (459 nucleotides) under uncultured bacterium. RNAcentral's name for it is "partial 16S ribosomal RNA". It matches the Rfam family "Bacterial small subunit ribosomal RNA", at positions 338 to 795 of the family's 1533-position model. The record is from RNAcentral.